Molecule: small RNA, 654 nt
Filed under: Pan troglodytes (chimpanzee)
Lineage: Eukaryota; Metazoa; Chordata; Mammalia; Primates; Hominidae
Description: retained intron
Source: RNAcentral
GGCGUAUUCAGGGACCAGCUAGAGAGGAGUGAGUGACAAGCAGUGAUGGGUCAGGCCCAACAAGACCCUUGUGGUGUGGGAUAAGAAAUUCGUGUUCCACUCUGAGGGCCAUGGGAGCCCCUUAGGGUCUUACUCCAUGGUGGGAGCUGCUCACUCACAUUUUCAGACAGAUCAUUUAGCAACUGACUCCUCCAACCCAAAACAAAGCUGCCUUUAUAGGGCCCACAGCUAGUCUGUCUCCAGCCCAGGCCGGUUAGAAAAGGAAUGCACCCCAUUCGGACUCCACAAAACCCCGCAAGGCAUGUCCACGCAGGCCUGGGGCUGGCUUCCAGUCCAGAGCAAGCGCUCUUCCUCCCGCAUGAGCCUCAGGCCGGCCCGGCCGCCCUCCCUGCGUCUUUCACUCUCUCCUGCCUCUCUCUCUCUUUCUCUCUCUCUCUGUGCAGAUAUUGUGGGCACUCUGAGGCCAGAUGAGAAGGCCAUCAUGACUUACGUGUCCUGCUUCUACCACGCUUUCUCGGGGGCUCAGAAGGCUGAAACUGCCGCCAACCGGAUCUGUAAGGUGCUGGCUGUCAACCAAGAGAACGAGCACCUGAUGGAGGACUACGAGAAGCUGGCCAGCGACCUCCUGGAGUGGAUCCGGCGCACCAUCCCCUG